This is a long non-coding RNA of Monodelphis domestica (gray short-tailed opossum), 924 nucleotides long. The record is from Ensembl. Lineage: Eukaryota; Metazoa; Chordata; Mammalia; Didelphimorphia; Didelphidae.
UGGGGGAAGGACCACGCCUCCCUACUCCCGGGCCAAUCCCAUGCCAGGAAGUAGGGGGGUGGGACCCUUGGGGCACACUGGGGGAUCCAGUUCUCCUGGCCACAAUAUUUUAAAACUGGCUCCUGCCAUUUCAGUUCCAGCUCCCAUUUUCUGUCUCCUGGAUACAACGGCAACCCAAUACCAGCACCUUGAAUACUACCUUGGAUAUAGAAGAUCGUCAAUAAAAACUUGUUGAAUUAAAGACAAAGAAUCCCACUGAGCAAUGUGUACACCAUUAAGGCAAGAGGAGUCCUACUUCAACUGGCAGCAUAUUUUAAUCUUUGACAAGAUGGCAAAUAUGGCUAUAGCUCUGAGAUUUUGCCAUUUUACCAGCCUAAGGCAUGGAGAAUCCCCUGCCAGAUUGACAAACUGGGAGCCCUGGAUACUAAAUUUAUCCAGAAUCCAUUUGGGGCAGCAUAUUGGUGGGAAGACCUCAGAGAAAGGAAGCUUUUCUCCAUUACUGCAUUACUCACAAGACCAGGAUGAGGCCAAAAUGUGGGUUCCUCCAUUAUGCCCUAGAGAAUUUUUCAUUCUGGACGAUCAUUGUUGCCUUGGAAUUCACUGAGAGAUAAGUAACUUCUUGUCCCUGUCACUAGAUGUUUCAUCACAGAAUCUCCAUUUAAGAACUGUGCCCAUUCCAGUUGUCUCUUCAUUUCCUGACAGGAUAUAAUCUAGACUACAUCUGUCCCCAGAAUGAAUACCUUCUCUUUCUCAUUUUUCAACUUUCUGUUAUGUGAUAUAUUUCCCAAAAAGAAUGGCAAACUCUUUGAGGGUAGAAAAUUGCCUUUCCUUUUGCUCAUAUUUGUAUUCUCGUCAAAUAGCACAGUGCUUGACAUAUAGUGAAUUCUAAAUAAAUGCUUGUAUACUAUAAAAUAGGGGUAAUAA